RNAcentral lists this ribosomal RNA (447 nucleotides) under uncultured bacterium. RNAcentral describes it as "partial 16S ribosomal RNA". It matches the Rfam family "Bacterial small subunit ribosomal RNA", at positions 29 to 523 of the family's 1533-position model. The record is from RNAcentral.
AGCGAACGCUGGCGGCAGGCUUAACACAUGCAAGUCGAACGCCCCGCAAGGGGAGUGGCAGACGGGUGAGUAACACGUGGGAACGUACCCUUUGGUUCGGAAUAACUUGGGGAAACUCAAGCUAAUACCGGAUAAGCCCUUAUGGGGAAAGGUUUACUGCCGAAGGAUCGGCCCGCGUCUGUUUAGCUAGUUGGUGAGGUAAUGGCUCACCAAGGCGACGAUCAGUAGCUGGUCUGAGAGGAUGAUCAGCCACACUGGGACGGAGACACGGCCCAGACUCCUACGGGAGGCAGCAGUGAGGAAUAUUGGACAAUGGGGGCAACCCUGAACCAGCCAUGCCGCGUGAGUGAUGAAGGCCUUAGGGUUGUAAAGCUCUUUUACCCGGGACGAUAAUGACUGUACCGGGAGAAUAAGCCCCGGCUAACUUCGUGCCAGCCGCCGCCGUAA